This is a long non-coding RNA of Bombus terrestris (buff-tailed bumblebee), 1906 nucleotides long. RefSeq lists it as uncharacterized. The record is from RefSeq and is a predicted model, not a curated record. NCBI's taxonomy places the organism in Eukaryota, Metazoa, Arthropoda, Insecta, Hymenoptera, Apidae. The transcript is spliced from 4 exons.
CCCUCAUUCGAAUCAUCGUUUGAUCACUAUAUUCAGCGACUUUAUUUAAAUCUAUUUGUCGCGAAUGUUAUCUUUUUGCCAUAUUUUCCUCUCUUUCAUUCGUAAAACACCGCGGACAAGGCGCUCUUUCACGCGACAUCACGCGAAAAAAUUUAAGACUAAGGUGAGAGGAAGUCCGAAGCAACGUUAAACGAGGAAGCAGUCUGAAUAGCGUGUCAUAGGAAAUCCAGCGAUGAAAGAAUAUAAUACCAGUUUUUUUCUGAUGGCAGCGAAGGAAGGAAGAAAGUGUGUGCGAGAUGAAAUGGCGACAGGAAGGAGCGCGAUUCUAGAGGAAGCGGAUGCGGAAGAGGGCAGACAAUUGUUUUAUUAUUUUCGUUAAACACAGGACUGACGGGAAGAAGAAAGAGGGGGCGGUUAUAAAUCGCAAGCUCGCGUAAAUACUCGGGAAGAGCACCGGUUCUUUGCGCCUUUCUGCUAAACGCGUCUUCGAAGAUUGUCUCGCCGUGACCUCUCCGUCCUUCUCGUAUUCCCUCGUUCUUUCGUUGUUCUCUCGCUCGUGCAACGCGUUGAUCCGUGAAUCCGAAAAGGUACCGAAGCGAUAUCGUCCGGGCCGGAGAAUCGACCGAGCAUUUUCUCUCACACCAUUCUGGUUAUCGUUGAAUGACCCGCUUUCUGGUUCGGUUUCUCUCCGCAAAUUUCUAAACCAAUAUUCACACCUAAAGGACAACCACCCCUAUAGAUAAUGAAAAGUGCCGAGGUUCUACACGAAUCGAUCGCUAAAACUCGGAUGUAUACGCACAAAUAAUUUUUAUAGAUUUUGCUUUCGAUUAUUUAAUUAAAAUCGUAUAAUUCUUAGUAUUUGAAAAGAGAGAAGCUAGGAAAAAAGCUUGAAAUCCACACGGGAUGACGACACGUUGAGUAAACAUGGCGUUCAACCGGCGACAGUUAUUGCGCUUUUGAAGCUGCCCUGGUGUUUGCGUUUUCUAUGGAAGCUGUGUCCGUGUUUCUUUCAGAUCUGACGGAGACCAUAUCGCAAACAAUGAGAACGAAAUAGGUGUCAAAUAGAUCACACCUAAGAAACUCAAAGUCGUCGGAAAGUAGCAGAACUUUGAUAAUGCGCAAAGAAGGUCGUGGAUGAAAUGUUCUCUAUGGUCUCGCUGGAACGUCAACUGGCAUUCGUAGAAUUUUUCGAAAUUCCUGCAAUCUCGUUAAAGAGAGAAGAAAGGGACGAAGAAGACAGACGAAACCAGAGAAAGAGAGAAAACUGGAAGAGCAUAGAGGAAGACGAUGGCAACUUUCUAUCGUGUAUGUUAGAGGAAAUUCGAGGUACGGAAAGUUCCUUAACUCGCGUCUAGAGGAAUGGCUGUCAACUUGCGAAACUUGUUCCGCGGAAUUACCUCGUAAGCCGCGACCAUUCGCGUACGAGCAGGGACCGAUGGGUUGGCUGGCGAGAAAUUUUCACGUCGACCAGGCCGAUAUGCACGCGCGCACCUCUAGAAUUUCCGAGGACGCGAGCAAUUCUCUCGAUCGAGAGGGGAUGGUCGCCACGCCGCGCCGAUCGGACGAUUCCCGGGAUUACGGCCUCGAAGCGCCUCGUCGUGCCGUGCCGUAGUGUGCCCUCCCGCUCACACAGACCAACCGUAAAGUUGCUUCCUCGAAACUUCAACCUGAGCCAACUACGCAACGAAGGAACUACGACGAUUUCCAAAUGGAUUGCCGGAGAAUCUAGAAUCCGUUGUUCAACGAAGUAACUACGCGAAUAAGACGGGCAAGGUUCGUGCGUAAUUUCCAAACGUGAUUCGAAAAGCUGAUUUAGUGUUUGAAUCGAUUUAGUGUUAUUUGUUCACGAUUAAAUGAGUAAGUUGGCACAAAAUGAAAUAAACCUUUCUAAUAGAUAGAGUAAACA